UUGUAAGGAUACAUGUUUUUUUGUUUUUAGGUUAAUGUGCCUUUUGCAUCAUGAUAUGUAGAAAAUUUUAGAUUAAUUCUUAAAACCGAAAAUUCUUGAUUUUUAUAUUUAAGUUGUUAAGCACUAGGUAACGCGGGUAGCUUAUAAAAUUUAUAUAAUGUUGUGAUAAAUUAGUCGUAAGAAUUAAUAUCUGUUUUUAGACUAUUAUUUGUUAAAUUACUGUUUACAGCGAUGAUGUUGUAUACAAAAAUAUAUUUAAUCUAUGUUUUUUUAUAAAAGAGUUAAAAUUACUCGUUUAUAAUAAGUGUUUUACAACUUAGUAAAAAAUAUUUAUAAAUUAUUAUUUUUAGUCUAGUUAUACUAAUUUAAUUAGUUAUUUAUUACUUAAUAAGUAAUAUUAUUAAUCUUAUUAUUUCUCAUUGUUAGCCCGUCUGUUUAUUAAAAACAUUUCCAUAUGUGAUUUAUAUAUGGUAGGACCUGCUCUAUGUUUAUAUAAAUGGCCGCAGUAUAUUGACUGUGCGAAGGUAGCAUAAUUAAUUGCCCCUUAAUUAGGGGCUUGUUUGAAUGGUUUGACGAGGUUAUAUAUAAUAUUAAGAUUUUUUUUUGAAAUUAAUUGUAGGGGCACAGAAUCCCUUAAAUUUAAUUAGACGGAAAGACCCCGGGAUCUUCUUAUUUUGCCUGGGGCAGGUACACCUUUUUCAAGUAUAUUAAGACCCGUUUUUGGCGUUUAGAGAUUUAAGUUACCCCGGGGAUAACAGUGUAAUUACUUAUAAGAGAUCUUAUCGAAUAAGUUGUUUGCUACCUCGAUGUUGACUUAGGUUUAUGCAGAGGCGCAGUUGUCUUUGUUUAUGGUCUGUUCGACCUUUAUUACCUCCAUGAGUUGAGUUAAGACCGGCGUGAGCCAGGUCGGUUCUUAUCUAUUGUUCUAAUCUAUUAGUACGAAAGGAUUGUAGAUUUUUUUAUU
RNAcentral lists this ribosomal RNA (964 nucleotides) under Dollfusiella sp. MZUSP 7992. RNAcentral's name for it is "16S ribosomal RNA". The stretch from base 642 to 922 matches the Rfam family "Archaeal large subunit ribosomal RNA", at positions 2151 to 2715 of the family's 2987-position model. Lineage: Eukaryota; Metazoa; Platyhelminthes; Cestoda; Trypanorhyncha; Eutetrarhynchidae. The record is from RNAcentral.